This 648-nucleotide ribosomal RNA is filed under the name Paratylenchus sp. 4 SAS-2014. Its description in RNAcentral is "eukaryotic LSU rRNA". It matches the Rfam family "Eukaryotic large subunit ribosomal RNA", at positions 367 to 867 of the family's 3401-position model. Lineage: Eukaryota; Metazoa; Nematoda; Chromadorea; Rhabditida; Tylenchulidae. The record is from RNAcentral.
CAAAGCACUUUGAAGAGAGAGUUAAAGAGGACGUGAAACCGGUAGGAUGGAACGGAUAGAGCCAGCGAAGUCGCUCGUAUUCAGCCAAAGCCUUGGGCAUCGGUGUGUCGGGUUGCUAAUCACGCCUGGCGCGCCUUUUGCUUCUGGUUGAGGUGCAUUUGCGGGCGUUUGCGCUGAGACUUGCGGAUCAGCUUCUGGACCCGGGCCUAGAGGCCGUCCUUUGGGCGGAACUUGGGCACGGCGACGGUUGUUUGGUCUGCUCGUACCACGGCUUGGCCUACGGACAGGGGCGCCGUCGUUUCUUCCGGGCGUUGGCAUCGCAUGCGAUGCCUCGUUCGGGGGGUGCGGUGGUGUUCCUCGUUCCCAAGUCGGCUCUCGGUGUAAAAGCUGGUCACCUAUCCGACCCGUCUUGAAACACGGACCAAGGAGUUUAGCGUAUACGCGAGCCAUUGGGUGUCAAAACCUACAGGCACAAUGAAAGUGAAGGCCCAUUCGGUGGGCUGACAUGCGAGUUGGUGGGCCUCGGCCUGCCGAUGCAGCAUGGUCCCGUUCCAAUCGCUUGCGAUGGAGCGGAGACAGAGCGUAUGCGCUGAGACCCGAAAGAUGGUGAACUAUUCCUGAGCAGGAUGAAGCCAGAGGAAACUCUGG